RNAcentral lists this ribosomal RNA (465 nucleotides) under uncultured bacterium. Its description in RNAcentral is "partial 16S ribosomal RNA". It matches the Rfam family "Bacterial small subunit ribosomal RNA", at positions 338 to 795 of the family's 1533-position model. The record is from RNAcentral.
CCUACGGGAGGCAGCAGUGGGGAAUAUUGCGCAAUGGGCGCAAGCCUGACGCAGCGACGCCGCGUGAGGGAUGAAGGUCUUCGGAUCGUAAACCUCUGUCAGCAGGGAAGAACCGUCACUCUGCUACUCAGCAGUGAAUUGACGCUACCUGCAAAGGAAGCACCGGCUAACUCCGUGCCAGCAGCCGCGGUAAUACGGAGGGUGCGAGCGUUAAUCGGAAUUACGGGGCGGAAAGCGCGCGUAGGCGGUAUGGCAAGUCAAGGGUGAAAUCCCCGGGCUAAACGUGGGAACUGCCUUUGAAACUGGAAAACUGGAGUGGGUGAGAGGAUAGUGGAAUUCCAGGUGUAGGAGUGAAAUCCGUAGAUAUCUGGAGGAACACCAGUGGCGAAGGCGACUAGCUGGAAAAUAACUGACGCUGAGGAGCGAAAGCGUGGGUAGCAAACAGGAUUAGAUACCCGUGUAGUC